RNAcentral lists this long non-coding RNA (312 nucleotides) under Dasypus novemcinctus (nine-banded armadillo). RNAcentral describes it as "lncRNA (ENSDNOG00000050145.1)". The record is from RNAcentral. Lineage: Eukaryota; Metazoa; Chordata; Mammalia; Cingulata; Dasypodidae.
CGGGGCGGCGGCGGCGGCGGCCGGGGCGGGGCCUCGCUAGGGCCCGCCCCCCAGGUACGUCACGGCGCCGCGCCCCGCCCCCCGCGCGGCCCCUCCCCUCUCCCCGGCAGCGCCGCUCGGGAGCCCGGAGCGGCUGGGCGCGCGUGGCCGUCUCGCAGCGCCGCCGCACGGGUCUGCCGGUGGACAGCCUUGGGAAGCAGGCACGAGGGCUGGAGCCCAGGCAUGCAUUUUUCCAGGAGAGAUGUGAGCCCGCCGGGCCCCCCGCCGACGCGUCGCUGAGGCGGCCCCCGCGGCGCGCCCCGCCGGCCCCCC